RNAcentral lists this ribosomal RNA (440 nucleotides) under uncultured bacterium. RNAcentral's name for it is "partial 16S ribosomal RNA". It matches the Rfam family "Bacterial small subunit ribosomal RNA", at positions 338 to 795 of the family's 1533-position model. The record is from RNAcentral.
CCUACGGGAGGCAGCAGUGGGGAAUAUUGCACAAUGGGGGAAACCCUGAUGCAGCGACGCCGCGUGAAGGAAGAAGUAUUUCGGUAUGUAAACUUCUAUCAGCAGGGAAGAAAAUGACGGUACCUGACUAAGAAGCCCCGGCUAACUACGUGCCAGCAGCCGCGGUAAUACGUAGGGGGCAAGCGUUAUCCGGAUUUACUGGGUGUAAAGGGAGCGGAGGCGGUUUAGCAAGUCAGAAGUGAAAGCCCGGGGCUCAACUCCGGGACUGCUUUUGAAACUGUUGAACUAGAGUGCAGGAGAGGUAAGUGGAAUUCCUAGUGUAGCGGUGAAAUGCGUAGAUAUUAGGAGGAACACCAGUGGCGAAGGCGGCUUACUGGACUGUAAAUGACGCUGAGGCUCGAAAGCGUGGGGAGCAAACAGGAUUAGAUACCCGGGUAGUC